Triticum dicoccoides is the source of this 350-nucleotide long non-coding RNA. RefSeq lists it as uncharacterized. The record is from RefSeq and is a predicted model, not a curated record. The transcript has 3 exons. NCBI's taxonomy places the organism in Eukaryota, Viridiplantae, Streptophyta, Magnoliopsida, Poales, Poaceae.
AAAAAAAUAUCUCUCCCAAUUGGAACACAUAUCCAUCCAGAUCUCUUUCUCUUGAUUAUCUCUCUCCUCCCCAACGGAAAACAAAUGGAUAUUCUCUCUCAAACAGAAGGUUUACGAUUGCAUCGACCGUCACUUUUCCUUUGGAUUUUGAUUCAAGUGUUUAUCUACUGUGUCUUCUCAAAGUUUUGUACUCUCCACGGAUUGGAUCCUGGAUUUUCUCACGUUCCUCAUGGAGAUCAGUUUUGUGCUCUCUACGGAUUGGAUCGUUUUUCUUCUCGCGGACAAUUUUGGGAUGAGUCAUGGAGAUCAGGUUGAAGCGCACCAACUAUCCCCAUCUGCUCAAGAUUCUG